AGAGUUUGAUCAUGGCUCAGAACGAACGCUGGCGGCAGGCCUAACACAUGCAAGUCGAACGCCGUAGCAAUACGGAGUGGCAGACGGGUGAGUAACGCGUGGGAACAUACCCCUCGGUUCGGAAUAACUCAGGGAAACUUGAGCUAAUACCGGAUACGUCCGAGGUUUUAAUCGACCUUGGAGAAAGAUUUAUCGCCGGAGGAUUGGCCCGCGUCUGAUUAGCUUGUUGGUGAGGUAACGGCUCACCAAGGCGACGAUCAGUAGCUGGUCUGAGAGGAUGAUCAGCCACAUUGGGACUGAGACACGGCCCAAACUCCUACGGGAGGCAGCAGUGGGGAAUAUUGGACAAUGGGCGAAAGCCUGAUCCAGCCAUGCCGCGUGAGUGAUGAAGGCCUUAGGGUUGUAAAGCUCUUUUGCCCGGGAAGAUAAUGACGGUACCGGGAGAAUAAGCCCCGGCUAACUUCGUGCCAGCAGCCGCGGUAAUACGAAGGGGGCUAGCGUUGUUCGGAAUUACUGGGCGUAAAGCGCACGUAGGCGGAUCCUUAAGUCAGGGGUGAAAUCCCGAGGCUCAACCUCGGAACUGCCUUUGAUACUGGGGAUAUCGAGUCCGGGAGAGGUGAGUGGAACUGCGAGUGUAGAGGUGAAAUUCGUAGAUAUUCGCAAGAACACCGUGGCGAAGGCGGCUCACUGGCCCGGGUACUGACGCUGAGGUGCGAAAGCGUGGGGAGCAAACAGGAUUAGAUACCCCAGUAGUCC
Molecule: ribosomal RNA, 756 nt
Filed under: uncultured bacterium
Lineage: Bacteria
Description: bacterial SSU rRNA
Rfam family: Bacterial small subunit ribosomal RNA
Source: RNAcentral